GACGAACGCUGGCGGCGUGGAUUAGGCAUGCAAGUCGAACGGUAGGAUACCUUCGGGUAUCUUAGAGUGGCGAACGGGUGAGUAACACGUAGGUGAUCUACCCUCAAGAUUGGGACAACCCAGGGAAACUUGGGCUAAUACCGGAUGAAAGCAGCAGUGAUGUUGUUUGAAAGGUGGCGUAAGCUGCCGUUUGGGGAUGAGCCUGCGCUCUAUUAGUUAGUUGGCGGGGUAAAGGCCCACCAAGGCGAUGAUAGAUAGGCGGCCUUAACGGGUGGUCGCCCACACUGGGAUUGAGAUACGGCCCAGACUCCUACGGGAGGCAGCAGUCGAGAAUAGUCUACAAUGGCCGAAAGGCUGAUAGUGCGACGCCGCGUGAACGAAGAAGCCCUUCGGGUGUAAAGUUCUUUUAUAUGUGAGCAGUGCUUUCUAUGUGAACAGCAUGGGGAGAGAGAUAUUAGCAUAUGAAUAAGCAACGGCUAACUCCGUGCCAGCAGCCG
RNAcentral lists this ribosomal RNA (497 nucleotides) under uncultured bacterium. RNAcentral's name for it is "bacterial SSU rRNA". It matches the Rfam family "Bacterial small subunit ribosomal RNA", at positions 28 to 517 of the family's 1533-position model. The record is from RNAcentral.